GCGUCGGUGUAGCUCAGUGGUUACAUCAAACCUGAACUAUCAAGUUUCUAAACCGUGGCCUCACAGCCGCGGGUUCGACCACGGGCGCUGUCCGACGUUUUU
Molecule: vault RNA, 102 nt
Filed under: Xiphophorus maculatus (southern platyfish)
Lineage: Eukaryota; Metazoa; Chordata; Actinopteri; Cyprinodontiformes; Poeciliidae
Rfam family: Vault RNA
About the family: This family of RNAs are found as part of the enigmatic vault ribonucleoprotein complex.
Source: Rfam by way of RNAcentral